This 21-nucleotide microRNA is filed under the name Bombyx mori (domestic silkworm). RNAcentral's name for it is "bmo-miR-3267b". Lineage: Eukaryota; Metazoa; Arthropoda; Insecta; Lepidoptera; Bombycidae. The record is from miRBase by way of RNAcentral.
GAGCUCGUCUAUUCAUUUUGA